This 254-nucleotide ribosomal RNA is filed under the name uncultured bacterium. RNAcentral's name for it is "partial 16S ribosomal RNA". It matches the Rfam family "Bacterial small subunit ribosomal RNA", at positions 524 to 776 of the family's 1533-position model. The record is from RNAcentral.
UACGGAGGGUGCAAGCGUUAUCCGGAUUCACUGGGUUUAAAGGGUGCGUAGGUGGGUCUGUAAGUCGGAUGUGAAAACUCCAGGCUCAACUUGGAGACGCCAUUCGAUACUGCGAUGACUUGAGUCCGGUAGGGGAGUGUGGAAUUCCUGGUGUAGCGGUGAAAUGCGCAGAUAUCAGGAGGAACACCAGCGGCGAAGGCGGCACUCUGGGCUGGAACUGACGCUGAGGCACGAAAGCGUGGGGAUCAAACAGG